This is a long non-coding RNA of Daphnia pulex (common water flea), 1273 nucleotides long. RefSeq lists it as uncharacterized. The transcript has 2 exons. Lineage: Eukaryota; Metazoa; Arthropoda; Branchiopoda; Diplostraca; Daphniidae. The record is from RefSeq and is a predicted model, not a curated record.
CCUAAGUCAGUGAUUUUAUUAAUUGAUGAUUUAUUACAGAAAUAAUGACAAUUUCAAAUUUCUUACGCCUGAUGCAGAAACUCCUCCGGGUCCAGCGUUACCAGUUCCGGCUCCAGCGCCGCUUCCAGUACCUUUAUAAAGAAAAUUUAUAAGUUGAUGAAAGUUUCGAGACUGACUUGGCUGACAAAGAAACUUACCGAGUUGGGGGAAUCCGAAGCCACCACCAAGAGGACGGACUGGACGGUUUCCUCCGAACUGAGGCCUAGCAACAGCAACGGCCAAGAGAAGAGCGAGAACCAAAGUAACCUGACGAGAUACAGAAGAUGAAAAUUACAAAUUACAGGUAAGAAUCGCACUCGCAUCAGACUAUGCACAUCGCAAAAUUUACCUUGUACAUCUUGAAGUGUUAAACUGCUUUGUUGGGAUGUGUAGCUAAGAAUGAGGUGCAGCUAUCGUCUGACUUUGCAGGGUGUGCAGUCCUGCUUUUUAUACGAUGAAGGAAUCAACGGGAGCUAGCGUGAGCAUUAAUAAAGCGCCCGGGGUCAAUCGUCCUUGAAUUCAUGGCCGGUAAUUUUGCACACAUAACGUGACAUCCUUGUGUUUUCCCCAGUUUGCCAAUAACGGGUUAAACUAGACUGCGAUUCAUCAACAACAUUUUAACUUGACAAGUGGGAAGUAUUCUAAUUCUAAAAACAUUUUCCGCCACUUUGGCGAACUCUUCCAUUCUGUAAUUAUAACCUCAGUAGUUAAUGGCUUUGUUCCAAACAUGUGUUGUUGACAACAACCCUGCAGCUGGGCUGGAGCGUUGGCCUUUUUGCACUUGCGUCCGUGUGUUGCUCACACACUUGUCUUUGUUAUUGCGUCGCUCUUUUAGAAUAGUUACCGAGUUUAUUUCAAAUGAUGAGUGACUCAUUCAGUGGAACUUGACAGCUGUGCACUUAUUGGUCGGCAACUGCUAAAUUCCGGUUUAAUCCACAGGUUCGUUGUAUGGGGCAUGAGUCGUGGCAGACUGGGUCGUUCUUGCUACCCAGGCGCAGGUCGUCGUAUUUUUCGUAGGAGCUUAAUAUAAUAUAACAUCGUAAUGAUAAUGUAAUUACGAUAUAUUAGGGAUGCAAAUUCAAUCAAUUUUUCCUGCUUCAAUGCCGAACAGGACGAUAGGGAAGGUGUGCAGCCUGCCUUGUCUCCAAAUGGUGUCUGCGUGUGAUGGUUGGAUGGAGUGUCGCGUGAGAAAAAGAAGCGUUCAUUCGGCGUGUCAAUCAGAUUGGAAUGUUGG